CCCUAGAGCUAGAAGGCGACGGGAAUGGGUGGUCAGUGCUCCCCAUAUAUAUUGCUGGUGCUUGAUGACGAUCGUUGCCGAAGGUCACUAGAUUCGGCAGCUUGUCGUUGUCAACCGCAUGGGAAGCAAUUUCUUGCUUCGACGUUGCCAACCGUGCUUUGCGGCGGGUGCAUGUACGUGUUUGGGUCUCCUCCAGAUCCAUGUAUUACCAUGGAGUUAGGAGGCUAGCCCCACUCCCAACAUAAGGCAGAGAGGACGGGCUGAAGGAGCUAGGACAGUGAUA
This 283-nucleotide long non-coding RNA is filed under the name Oryza brachyantha (malo sina). Its description in RNAcentral is "long non-coding RNA (OBRA_LNC001647)". Lineage: Eukaryota; Viridiplantae; Streptophyta; Magnoliopsida; Poales; Poaceae. The record is from RNAcentral.